RNAcentral lists this ribosomal RNA (251 nucleotides) under uncultured bacterium. RNAcentral describes it as "partial 16S ribosomal RNA". It matches the Rfam family "Bacterial small subunit ribosomal RNA", at positions 1250 to 1500 of the family's 1533-position model. The record is from RNAcentral.
CGAAGGGGUGACCUGGAGCGAAUCUCAGAAAUAACGUCUCAGUUCGGAUUGUAGUCUGCAACUCGACUACAUGAAGCUGGAAUCGCUAGUAAUCGCGGAUCAGAAUGCCGCGGUGAAUACGUUCCCGGGUCUUGUACACACCGCCCGUCACACCAUGGGAGUCGGGAAUGCCCGAAGCCAGUGACCCAAGCGAGAGCAGGGAGCUGUCGAAGGCAGGCCGGAUAACUGGGGUGAAGUCGUAACAAGGUAAC